AGAAAAGAUCCUACAGCAAUAUGGAAAGUAAGUAGAGGAGAAGUUAGAAGGAAGUUACCAAGUUAGAAAUUCCUAUAUUAAGAUCCUGCAAAAGAAAAUAAAAGAAAUUAGUUCCUAAAAAUAGAAAUUCUAAAGUUAGAAAAUUCUAAGAUGGAAAUACAAAGUUAGUUUCUAAAAAAAGGAAAAGUUUCUAAAAAGGAAAAUAACUAACCUAGUUUCUAAAAACAAAAGAGGAAAGUUCUAAACCUAAAGUUAGAAAGUUCUAAAUUAGAAAUCCUAAUCCUAAAAUAGAAAGUAAUGAUAAUUUCUAAAAGGGAAAAAAAAUUCUAAAAAAAAUGAAAGCCUAGAAAUAGAA
Magnolia sinica is the source of this 355-nucleotide long non-coding RNA. RefSeq lists it as uncharacterized. The record is from RefSeq and is a predicted model, not a curated record. The transcript has 2 exons. Lineage: Eukaryota; Viridiplantae; Streptophyta; Magnoliopsida; Magnoliales; Magnoliaceae.